This 485-nucleotide ribosomal RNA is filed under the name uncultured bacterium. RNAcentral describes it as "partial 16S ribosomal RNA". It matches the Rfam family "Bacterial small subunit ribosomal RNA", at positions 30 to 507 of the family's 1533-position model. The record is from RNAcentral.
AUUGAACGCUGGCGGCAUGCCUUACACAUGCAAGUCGAACGGCAGCACGGGUGCUUGCCCCUGGUGGCGAGUGGCGAACGGGUGAGUAAUACAUCGGAACAUGUCCUGUAGUGGGGGAUAGCCCGGCGAAAGCCGGAUUAAUACCGCAUACGAUCCACGGAUGAAAGCGGGGGACCUUCGGGCCUCGCGCUAUAGGGUUGGCCGAUGGCUGAUAGCUAGUUGGUGGGGUAAAGGCCUACCAAGGCGACGAUCAGUAGCUGGUCUGAGAGGACGACCAGCCACACUGGGACUGAGACACGGCCCAGACUCCUACGGGAGGCAGCAGUGGGGAAUUUUGGACAAUGGGCGAAAGCCUGAUCCAGCAAUGCCGCGUGUGUGAAGAAGGCCUUCGGGUUGUAAAGCACUUUUGUCCGGAAAGAAAUCCUUGACUCUAAUACAGUCGGGGGAUGACGGUACCGGAAGAAUAAGCACCGGCUAACUACGUG